CAAAGAUCUUCUCCUCUGAAACUACUGAACCAAUUACAACCAAACUUUAGCUGAAUGAUCCUUAGGGUAUCUAGAAUAAAGAUUGUGUUUUAUUUUCCAUUUUGUGAAAAAAACAUGGCCGCCAUGGCUAAAAAUAGAACAUGGGGGUAAAAUGCAGUUUUUGGCUUAUAUCUCAAAAACGAAAGCAUUUAGAGCAAAUCUGACAGGGGUAAAAAUGUUCAUUAGGUCAAGAUCUAUCAGCCCUGAAAUUUUCAGAUGAAUCAAACAACCCAUUGUUGGGUUGCUGCACUUAAUUGGUAAUUUUAAGGAAAUUUUGCAGUUUUUGGUCAUUAUCUUGAAUAUUAUUAUAGAUAAAGAUAAACUGUAAACAGCAAAAAUGAUCAGCAAAGUAAGAUCUACAAAUAAUGUGACCAAAAUUGUCAAUUGACCCCUUAAGGGGUUAUUGUCCUUUAAUGACAAUUUUUCACAAUUUGUUCAUCAUAUUUGCUAACUUUAAAAAAUCUUCUCCUCUAAAACUACUCAACCAAAUUCAACCAAACUUCAACUGAAUGAUCAGUAGGGUGUAUAAAAUAAAGUUUGUGUUUUAUUUUCUAUUUCGUCAAAAAACAUGGCCGUCAUGGCUAAAAAUAGAACACAGGGUAAAAUGCAGUUUUUGGCUUAUAUCUCAAAAACUCCAGCAUUUAGAGCAAAUAAGACAAGAAGUUAAAGUAUUUAUUAGGUCAAGGUCUACCUGUCCUGAAAUUUUCAGCCGAAUUGGGUAACUGGUUUUUCAGGUAUAAUGCCCCUGAAUUGGUGAUUUUGAAGACAUUUUGCAGUUUUUGGUUAUUAUCUUGAAUAUUAUUAUAGAUACAGAUAAACUGUUAAUAGCAAAAUUGUUAAACAAAGUAAUAUCUACAAAUAAGUCAAUUUGACCAAAAUUGUCAAUUGACCCCUUAAGGAGUUAUUGCCCUUUAAAGACUUUUUCACAAUUUGUUCAUCAUGUUGACUUACUUUAAAAAAUCUUCUCCUUUGAAACUGCUGUAUCAAUUUCAGCCAAACUUAGGCUAAAUGAGUUUCAGAGUAUCUAGUAUAAAUUUUAUAUUUUAUUUCCUUGUAUGUCAAGAAACAUAGCUCCUAUGGCUAAAAUAGAACAUAGGAGAAAAUGAUUUUUUUUUGCUUUUGAAGAAAAUAGGAC
This 1174-nucleotide long non-coding RNA is filed under the name Mytilus galloprovincialis (Mediterranean mussel). The record is from RNAcentral. Lineage: Eukaryota; Metazoa; Mollusca; Bivalvia; Mytilida; Mytilidae.